AGUCGAACGCUUCUUUUUCCACCGGAGCUUGCUCCACCGGAAAAAGAAGAGUGGCGAACGGGUGAGUAACACGUGGGUAACCUGCCCAUCAGAAGGGGAUAACACUUGGAAACAGGUGCUAAUACCGUAUAACAAUCAAAACCGCAUGGUUUUGAUUUGAAAGGCGCUUUCGGGUGUCGCUGAUGGAUGGACCCGCGGUGCAUUAGCUAGUUGGUGAGGUAACGGCUCACCAAGGCCACGAUGCAUAGCCGACCUGAGAGGGUGAUCGGCCACAUUGGGACUGAGACACGGCCCAAACUCCUACGGGAGGCAGCAGUAGGGAAUCUUCGGCAAUGGACGAAAGUCUGACCGAGCAACGCCGCGUGAGUGAAGAAGGUUUUCGGAUCGUAAAACUCUGUUGUUAGAGAAGAACAAGGAUGAGAGUAACUGUUCAUCCCUUGACGGUAUCUAACCAGAAAGCCACGGCUAACUACGUGCCAGCAGCCGCGGUAAUACGUAGGUGGCAAGCGUUGUCCGGAUUUAUUGGGCGUAAAGCGAGCGCAGGCGGUUUCUUAAGUCUGAUGUGAAAGCCCCCGGCUCAACCGGGGAGGGUCAUUGGAAACUGGGAGACUUGAGUGCAGAAGAGGAGAGUGGAAUUCCAUGUGUAGCGGUGAAAUGCGUAGAUAUAUGGAGGAACACCAGUGGCGAAGGCGGCUCUCUGGUCUGUAACUGACGCUGAGGCUCGAAAGCGUGGGGAGCAAACAGGAUUAGAUACCCUGGUAGUCCACGCCGU
Molecule: ribosomal RNA, 772 nt
Filed under: uncultured bacterium
Lineage: Bacteria
Description: bacterial SSU rRNA
Rfam family: Bacterial small subunit ribosomal RNA
Source: RNAcentral